This 489-nucleotide ribosomal RNA is filed under the name uncultured bacterium. RNAcentral's name for it is "partial 16S ribosomal RNA". It matches the Rfam family "Bacterial small subunit ribosomal RNA", at positions 28 to 507 of the family's 1533-position model. The record is from RNAcentral.
GAUGAACGCUAGCUACAGGCUUAACACAUGCAAGUCGAGGGGCAGCAUGAACUUAGCUUGCUAAGUUUGAUGGCGACCGGCGCACGGGUGAGUAACACGUAUCCAACCUGCCGAUGACUCGGGGAUAGCCUUUCGAAAGAAAGAUUAAUACCCGAUGGCAUAGUUCUUCCGCAUGGUAGAACUAUUAAAGAAUUUCGGUCAUCGAUGGGGAUGCGUUCCAUUAGGUUGUUGGCGGGGUAACGGCCCACCAAGCCUUCGAUGGAUAGGGGUUCUGAGAGGAAGGUCCCCCACAUUGGAACUGAGACACGGUCCAAACUCCUACGGGAGGCAGCAGUGAGGAAUAUUGGUCAAUGGACGAGAGUCUGAACCAGCCAAGUAGCGUGAAGGAUGACUGCCCUAUGGGUUGUAAACUUCUUUUAUACGGGAAUAAAGUGAGGCACGUGUGCCUUUUUGUAUGUACCGUAUGAAUAAGCAUCGGCUAACUCCGUG